AGGAAUAUUGGUCAAUGGACGGAAGUCUGAACCAGCCAAGUAGCGUGCAGGAUGACGGCCCUAUGGGUUGUAAACUGCUUUUGUAUGGGGAUAAAGUCAAUCACGUGUGAUUGUUUGCAGGUACCAUACGAAUAAGGACCGGCUAAUUCCGUGCCAGCAGCCGCGGUAAUACGGAAGGUUCGGGCGUUAUCCGGAUUUAUUGGGUUUAAAGGGAGCGUAGGCCGGAGAUUAAGUGUGUUGUGAAAUGUAGACGCUCAACGUCUGACUUGCAGCGCAUACUGGUUUCCUUGAGUACGCACAACGUUGGCGGAAUUCGUCGUGUAGCGGUGAAAUGCUUAGAUAUGACGAAGAACUCCGAUUGCGAAGGCAGCUGACGGGAGCGCAACUGACGCCGAAGCUCGAAGGUGCGGGUAUCGAACAGGAUUAGAUACCCUGGUAGUCCGCACAGUAAACGAUGGAUGCCCGCUGUUGG
This 472-nucleotide ribosomal RNA is filed under the name uncultured Prevotellaceae bacterium. RNAcentral's name for it is "bacterial SSU rRNA". It matches the Rfam family "Bacterial small subunit ribosomal RNA", at positions 357 to 826 of the family's 1533-position model. Lineage: Bacteria; Pseudomonadati; Bacteroidota; Bacteroidia; Bacteroidales; Prevotellaceae. The record is from RNAcentral.